CUCCCUGAACUGCCAGCAGACAAAGCCCUGGGAAUCUGACUAAUCUCCUUUGGGGUUACAUGCAAUGGGCAGUUUACUACUUUUCAGCAUCUUUUUUCUUCUUGAUUACCCAAUUAUUGUCCCCACAUUCACAGAAGCCAAAUAGACACCCUAGUAUGUGGUCCUUGAAGCCAAGAAUGACACAAUUUUUUCAAACUGUCUGGCCAACUAAGACCGUCUUGAAUUGAAAUCAGUCACUUCUCAUAGGACAGUGAAUUGUCUGUCUACAUUGCUAAUGAGGUUCAGCUGCACAAAUAAAUCUGAGAAGGUGCCAGACACUUCCUCCACUGCCUUCCACACUUCCAUUUUUCAACUGGGAACUUCUGUCAAGAGAAGCGCUGCCUGCCGAUCCUGCCCGAGAGGUUUUCAUUCCUGGAGACCAGCAGCUACUGGCCGAGCUGGGGAGGCGAUGGGAGUGGGAUGCUGCUCCUGCAAAAAGCAAGCAAGUGCCGCCCAGACCCUGCACAUCCC
Pelodiscus sinensis (Chinese soft-shelled turtle) is the source of this 510-nucleotide long non-coding RNA. RefSeq lists it as uncharacterized. NCBI's taxonomy places the organism in Eukaryota, Metazoa, Chordata, Testudines, Trionychidae. The record is from RefSeq and is a predicted model, not a curated record.